ACUCUAAGCGGUGGAUCACUCGGCUCAUGGGUCGAUGAAGAACGCAGCAAACUGUGCGUCAUCGUGUGAACUGCAGGACACAUGAACAUCGACAUUUUGAACGCAUAUCGCAGUCCAUGCUGUUAUGUACUUUAAUUAAUUUUAUAGUGCUGCUUGGACUACAUAUGGUUGAGGGUUGUAAGACUAUGCUAAUUAAGUUGCUUAUAAAUUUUUAUAAGCAUAUGGUAUAUUAUUGGAUAAAUAUAAUAAUUUUUAUUCAUAAUAUUAAAAAAUAAAUGAAAAACAUUAUCUCACAUUUGAAUGUGAAAAACGAAGAGAAAUAUUUUCUUUUUCAAUCAAAUAAUACUGAGAAAUGUCUAGCAUAAAAAAUUGAAAUAUUUUUCAUCUAGAAUUGUCUCUUAUUAAUGAUUCGGAAAUAGAAAAAUCUUGGUUAUGUUAUUAUUCUUCGUUGGUUCGUUAAAAAUGGAUAAAUAAAAACUUUGCAUACAAGAAUUAAUAAAAAUGUUAUAACGAAUUUAAUUAAAUGUUUUAUCAUUAUAUAUAAAGAAUUUAUGGCAAGAUAAAGUUAUAUACAACCUCAACUCAUAUGGGACUACCCCUGAAUUUAAGCAUAUUAAUUAGGGGAGGAAAAGAAACUAACAAGGAUUUUCUUAGUAGCGGCGAGCGAAAAGAAAACAGUUCAGCACUAAGUCACUUUGUCUAUAUGGCAAAUGUGAGAUGCAGUGUAUGGAGCGUCAAUAUUCUAGUAUGAGAAAUUAACGAUUUAAGUCCUUCUUAAAUGAGGCCAUUUACCCAUAGAGGGUGCCAGGCCCGUAUAACGUUAAUGAUUACUAGAUGAUGUUUCCAAAGAGUCGUGUUGCUUGAUAGUGCAGCACUAAGUGGGUGGUAAACUCCAUCUAAAACUAAAUAUAACCAUGAGACCGAUAGUAAACAAGUACCGUGAGGGAAAGUUGAAAAGAACUCUGAAUAGAGAGUUAAACAGUACGUGAAACUGCUUAGAGGUUAAGCCCGAUGAACCUGAAUAUCCGUUAUGGAAAAUUCAUCAUUAAAAUUGUAAUAUUUAAAUAAUAUUAUGAGAAUAGUGUGCAUUUUUUCCAUAUAAGGACAUUGUAAUCUAUUAGCAUAUACCAAAUUUAUCAUAAAAUAUAACUUAUAGUUUAUUCCAAUUAAAUUGCUUGCAUUUUAACACAGAAUAAAUGUUAUUAAUUUGAUAAAGUGCUGAUAGAUUUAUAUGAUUACAGUGCGUUAAUUUUUCGGAAUUAUAUAAUGGCAUAAUUAUCAUUGAUUUUUGUGUUUAUUAUAUGCACUUGUAUGAUUAACAAUGCGAAAGAUUCAGGAUACCUUCGGGACCCGUCUUGAAACACGGACCAAGGAGUCUAACAUAUGUGCAAGUUAUUGGGAUAUAAACCUAAUAGCGUAAUUAACUUGACUAAUAAUGGGAUUAGUUUUUUAGCUAUUUAUAGCUAAUUAACACAAUCCCGGGGCGUUCUAUAUAGUUAUGUAUAAUGUAUAUUUAUAUUAUUUAUGCCUCUAACUGGAACGUACCUUGAGCAUAUAUGCUGUGACCCGAAAGAUGGUGAACUAUACUUGAUCAGGUUGAAGUCAGGGGAAACCCUGAUGGAAGACCGAAACAGUUCUGACGUGCAAAUCGAUUGUCAGAAUUGAGUAUAGGGGCGAAAGACCAAUCGAACCAUCUAGUAGCUGGUUCCUUCCGAAGUUUCCCUCAGGAUAGCUGGUGCAUUUUAAUAUUAUAUAAAAUAAUCUUAUCUGGUAAAGCGAAUGAUUAGAGGCCUUAGGGUCGAAACGAUCUUAACCUAUUCUCAAACUUUAAAUGGGUAAGAACCUUAACUUUCUUGAUAUGAAGUUCAAGGUUAUGAUAUAAUGUGCCCAGUGGGCCACUUUUGGUAAGCAGAACUGGCGCUGUGGGAUGAACCAAACGUAAUGUUACGGUGCCCAAAUUAACAACUCAUGCAGAUACCAUGAAAGGCGUUGGUUGCUUAAAACAGCAGGACGGUGAUCAUGGAAGUCGAAAUCCGCUAAGGAGUGUGUAACAACUCACCUGCCGAAGCAACUAGCCCUUAAAAUGGAUGGCGCUUAAGUUGUAUACCUAUACAUUACCGCUAAAGUAGAUGAUUUAUAUUACUUGUGAUAUAAAUUUUGAAACUUUAGUGAGUAGGAAGGUACAAUGGUAUGCGUAGAAGUGUUUGGCGUAAGCCUGCAUGGAGCUGCCAUUGGUACAGAUCUUGGUGGUAGUAGCAAAUAAUCGAAUGAGACCUUGGAGGACUGAAGUGGAGAAGGGUUUCGUGUGAACAGUGGUUGAUCACGAGUUAGUCGGUCCUAAGUUCAAGGCGAAAGCCGAAAAUUUUCAAGUAAAACAAAAAUGCCUAACUAUAUAAACAAAGCGAAUUAUAAUACACUUGAAUAAUUUUGAACGAAAGGGAAUACGGUUCCAAUUCCGUAACCUGUUGAGUAUCCGUUUGUUAUUAAAUAUGGGCCUCGUGCUCAUCCUGGCAACAGGAACGACCAUAAAGAAGCCGUCGAGAGAUAUCGGAAGAGUUUUCUUUUCUGUUUUAUAGCCGUACUACCAUGGAAGUCUUUCGCAGAGAGAUAUGGUAGAUGGGCUAGAAGAGCAUGACAUAUACUGUUGUGUCGAUAUUUUCUCCUCGGACCUUGAAAAUUUAUGGUGGGGACACGCAAACUUCUCAACAGGCCGUACCAAUAUCCGCAGCUGGUCUCCAAGGUGAAGAGUCUCUAGUCGAUAGAAUAAUGUAGGUAAGGGAAGUCGGCAAAUUAGAUCCGUAACUUCGGGAUAAGGAUUGGCUCUGAAGAUUGAGAUAGUCGGGCUUGAUUGGGAAACAAUAACAUGGUUUAUGUGCUCGUUCUGGGUAAAUAGAGUUUCUAGCAUUUAUGUUAGUUACUUGUUCCCCGGAUAGUUUAGUUACGUAGCCAAUUGUGGAACUUUCUUGCUAA
This 2970-nucleotide ribosomal RNA is filed under the name Drosophila melanogaster (fruit fly). RNAcentral describes it as "eukaryotic LSU rRNA". The stretch from base 573 to 2970 matches the Rfam family "Eukaryotic large subunit ribosomal RNA", at positions 1 to 2092 of the family's 3401-position model. The record is from RNAcentral. Lineage: Eukaryota; Metazoa; Arthropoda; Insecta; Diptera; Drosophilidae.